AUGGAUAACAGGUUGAUAUUCCUGUACCACCUAUAAUCGUUUUAAUCGAUGGGGGGACGCAGUAGGAUAGGCGAAGCGUGCGAUUGGAUUGCACGUCUAAGCAGUAAGGCUGAGUAUUAGGCAAAUCCGGUACUCGUUAAGGCUGAGCUGUGAUGGGGAGAAGACAUUGUGUCUUCGAGUCGUUGAUUUCACACUGCCGAGAAAAGCCUCUAGAUAGAAAAUAGGUGCCCGUACCGCAAACCGACACAGGUAGUCAAGAUGAGAAUUCUAAGGUGAGCGAGCGAACUCUCGUUAAGGAACUCGGCAAAAUGACCCCGUAACUUCGGGAGAAGGGGUGCUCUUUAGGGUUAACGCCCAGAAGAGCCGCAGUGAAUAGGCCCAAGCGACUGUUUAUCAAAAACACAGGUCUCUGCUAAACCGUAAGGUGAUGUAUAGGGGCUGACGCCUGCCCGGUGCUGGAAGGUUAAGAGGAGUGGUUAGCUUCUGCGAAGCUACGAAUCGAAGCCCCAGUAAACGGCGGCCGUAACUAUAACGGUCCUAAGGUAGCGAAAUUCCUUGUCGGGUAAGUUCCGACCCGCACGAAAGGCGUAACGAUUUGGGCACUGUCUCAACGAGAGACUCGGUGAAAUCAUAGUACCUGUGAAGAUGCAGGUUACCCGCGACAGGACGGAAAGACCCCGUGGAGCUUUACUGUAGCCUGAUAUUGAAAUUCGGCACAGCUUGUACAGGAUAGGUAGGAGCCUUUGAAACGUGAGCGCUAGCUUACGUGGAGGCGCUGGUGGGAUACUACCCUAGCUGUGUUGGCUUUCUAACCCGCACCACUUAUCGUGGUGGGAGACAGUGUCAGGCGGGCAGUUUGACUGGGGCGGUCGCCUCCUAAAAGGUAACGGAGGCGCUCAAAGGUUCCCUCAGAAUGGUUGGAAAUCAUUCAUAGAGUGUAAAGGCAUAAGGGAGCUUGACUGCGAGACCUACAAGUCGAGCAGGGUCGAAAGACGGACUUAGUGAUCCGGUGGUUCCGCAUGGAAGGGCCAUCGCUCAACGGAUAAAAGCUACCCCGGGGAUAACAGGCUUAUCUCCCCCAAGAGUUCACAUCGACGGGGAGGUUUGGCACCUCGAUGUCGGCUCAUCGCAUCCUGGGGCUGUAGUCGGUCCCAAGGGUUGGGCUGUUCGCCCAUUAAAGCGGUACGCGAGCUGGGUUCAGAACGUCGUGAGACAGUUCGGUCCCUAUCCGUCGUGGGCGUAGGAAAUUUGAGAGGAGCUGUCCUUAGUACGAGAGGACCGGGAUGGACAUACCUCUGGUGUACCAGUUGUCGUGCCAACGGCAUAGCUGGGUAGCUAUGUGUGGACGGGAUAAGUGCUGAAAGCAUCUAAGCAUGAAGCCCCCCUCAAGAUGAGAUUUCCCAACUUCGGUUAUAAGAUCCCUCAAAGAUGAUGAGGUUAAUAGGUUCGAGGUGGAAGCAUGGUGACAUGUGGAGCUGACGAAUACUAAUCGAUCGAAGACUUAAUCAA
Molecule: ribosomal RNA, 1509 nt
Filed under: Staphylococcus aureus
Lineage: Bacteria; Bacillati; Bacillota; Bacilli; Caryophanales; Staphylococcaceae
Description: partial 23S ribosomal RNA
Rfam family: Bacterial large subunit ribosomal RNA
Source: RNAcentral